UCAACGGAGAGUUUGAUCCUGGCUCAGGACGAACGCUGGCGGCGUGCUUAACACAUGCAAGUCGAGCGGUAAGGCUCCUUCGGGAGUACACGAGCGGCGAACGGGUGAGUAACACGUGAGCAAUCUGCCCUUUACACUGGAAUAACCCCGGGAAACCGGGGCUAAUACCGGAUACGACUUCUCGCGGCAUCACGAGAAGUGGAAAGCUCCGGCGGUGAAGGAUGAGCUCGCGGCCUAUCAGCUUGUUGGUGGGGUAAUGGCCCACCAAGGCGACGACGGGUAGCCGGCCUGAGAGGGUGACCGGCCACACUGGGACUGAGACACGGCCCAGACUCCUACGGGAGGCAGCAGUGGGGAAUAUUGGACAAUGGGCGGAAGCCUGAUCCAGCAACGCCGCGUGAGGGAUGACGGCCUUCGGGUUGUAAACCUCUUUCA
This 435-nucleotide ribosomal RNA is filed under the name Actinomycetota bacterium. RNAcentral's name for it is "bacterial SSU rRNA". It matches the Rfam family "Bacterial small subunit ribosomal RNA", at positions 1 to 438 of the family's 1533-position model. Lineage: Bacteria; Bacillati; Actinomycetota. The record is from RNAcentral.